GCCUGUAAGUCUCGUUUACUUUCACUUUCGAUUUACCACUUCCGGGUACAUCGGCAGACUUAUUUACCGUUACGCAUAUAGGUAACCCGAAGAACUAGAGGGAUAUAGAAGUUAAAUUUGUUUCGGUCCUCUUCAGAUUUGAAGGAAUGGAUAGCACGGGUCAAAAAAUGCAGAUGUAUAGACAAGGAGGUAUAUGACAAGUAUAGAAUAUAAAGUUGUUCAAUAUGGACCAUUUAUCAACUGUUUGCACUGCCUAUGAUCCUGAAAUAUCUAUACAUCAAAGAUAAAAAGGGAAGGGAUGAAGGAGGAUUUGUCCAUGAAGACCUUUCUUGCAACUACCAUGCAUCUUCCAGUUCCUUAAUUUGAGAAUGAUAUCAGAGAACACACAGUUACAGUGAAAUACUCUAUAUAUACCAAAGUUGAUUAACACACCAGAGAUAAGAUUUUUUCAUAGAAUCACAGUAGAGUCAUAUGACAUUAUGGACAUUAAA
Long non-coding RNA from Ruditapes philippinarum (Manila clam), 491 nucleotides. RefSeq lists it as uncharacterized. The transcript has 3 exons. NCBI's taxonomy places the organism in Eukaryota, Metazoa, Mollusca, Bivalvia, Venerida, Veneridae. The record is from RefSeq and is a predicted model, not a curated record.